UACAGAGGUCUCAAGCGUUGUUCGGAUUCAUUGGGCGUAAAGGGUGCGUAGGCGGCGCCGUAAGUCAGGUGUGAAAUCUCGGGGCUCAACCCCGAAACUGCACUUGAUACUGCGGUGCUAGAGGACUCGAGAGGAGAUUGGAAUUCACGGUGUAGCAGUGAAAUGCGUAGAUAUCGUGAGGAAGACCAGUGGCGAAGGCGGAUCUCUGGAGAGUUCCUGACGCUGAGGCACGAAGGCCAGGGGAGCAAACGGG
This 253-nucleotide ribosomal RNA is filed under the name uncultured bacterium. Its description in RNAcentral is "partial 16S ribosomal RNA". It matches the Rfam family "Bacterial small subunit ribosomal RNA", at positions 524 to 776 of the family's 1533-position model. The record is from RNAcentral.